AGCAGCCGCGGUAAUUCCAGCUCCAAUAGCGUAUAUUAAAGUUGUUGCAGUUAAAAAGCUCGUAGUUGAAUUUCGGGAUCAAUACGUCGGUCGUGCUUAGGUACGUACUGGCGUAAUUGAUUUCUCCCUUCUGACGAACCAUGAUGUCAUUAACUUGGUGUCAUGGGAAAUCAGGACUGUUAACUUUGAAAAAAUUAGAGUGUUUAAAGCAGGCUCACGCUUGAAUACAUUAGCAUGGAAUAAUGAAAUAGGACGUUCGAUCCUAUUUUGUUGGUUUUAGGAUCAACGUAAUGAUUAAUAGGGAUAGUUGGGGGCAUUAGUAUUCAAUUGUCAGAGGUGAAAUUCUUGGAUUUAUUGAAGACUAACUACUGCGAAAGCAUUUGCCAAGGAUGUUUUCAUUAAUCAAGAACGAAAGUUAGGGGAUCGAAGACGAUCAGAUACCGUCGUAAGUCUUAACCAUAAACUAUGCCGACUAGGGAUCGGAUGAUGUUAAUUUUUAAUGACUCAUUCGGCGCCUUAA
This 520-nucleotide ribosomal RNA is filed under the name uncultured Glomus. RNAcentral's name for it is "SSU rRNA". It matches the Rfam family "Eukaryotic small subunit ribosomal RNA", at positions 569 to 1091 of the family's 1831-position model. The record is from RNAcentral. Lineage: Eukaryota; Fungi; Glomeromycota; Glomeromycetes; Glomerales; Glomeraceae.